This 4992-nucleotide long non-coding RNA is filed under the name Canis lupus familiaris (dog). RNAcentral's name for it is "lncRNA (ENSCAFG00030020123.1)". Lineage: Eukaryota; Metazoa; Chordata; Mammalia; Carnivora; Canidae. The record is from RNAcentral.
GUCUUCCUCAGGACCCCUGGUGUAGUCUUCGGGAAAUAUGGGGAUGCGUCCAUGCGGACAGAAGAGCCCCGCCUUGUCAGGGCCUCUGGUGAGGCCUAAGAAAGAUGUGGGUGCUGCAUCCACACUGACAGGAAUCUCUGGCCUCCUCAGGACGCACUGUGAAGUUUUGGGAAUAUUUGGGGCCACGUCCAUGCUGACAGGAGCCCCCAGCCUCCUCAGGGCUUAUGGUGAGGCUUGAGGAAAAUGUGGGACCACCUCAACACUGACAAGACCCCCGUUGUCCUCAGGACUUGCACUUUGGCUUUGGGAUAUAUGAGGCUGGGUCUUUGCUGACAGGAGCCCACAGCCUCCUCAGGACCCACGGUUAGUGUUCUGGGGGUGUGGGGUCAUGUCCAGGCUGACAGAAGCCCCCGGCCUCCUGAGGACCUGCUGUGAGGCUUCCAGAGGAUGUGAAGCAUAGUCCACAGUGACAGGAGACCCGGCGUCUUCAGGACCCACUGACUAUGGCUCAGGAACACGUGGGGCCACGUGCACACUCACAGGAGCCCGGUUUCCUCAGGACCCCCUGGAGUACUCUGGAGGUGCCAUUGGGGGCCAUGUCCAUAUCAGAAGGGACUCCUCAGAAUCACAGAGUAAGUGAAUGGGUAGAAUGAAUGGUUGGGUUAGGGGAGGGGAGGCAAUUGGUGGUUAGCCUUACGUUAGAUGUUAGGUGUUAGUGAUUAUGCUUAUGGUUAUGGAUUAGAGGUUAGGAUGAGGGAUAAGGGUAAGGGUCAGUGGUUAGGAGUUAGGAUGUGGGUUAGGGCUAGGGUUAGUAGUGUUAGUGUUUGGUUAGGGUUUAGGGUUAGGGUCAGGUCAGGGUCAGGGUACGGUUUUGGAAAAGGGCAAGAUAUAGGGUUAGGGAGUGGGUUAGGGGUUGGCUUUAGGGUACGGGUUAGGGUACAGUUUGCGGUAUGAGAUAGGAUUAGUAUUAGAGGCUUAGGGUUAGGGUACAGGUUAAGGUUAGGAAUAGGAUUUGAAUACCUUAUUUUAAGGAUAGGGUUAGAGGUUAGGGUCCGUGUUAGAUUUAAUGUAGGGGUCAGGGUUAAGGAAACCUAAGUUUAGGUGCACCUGCAUUUAGGAGAUAGGGUGAGGGUUGGCAGGAAGGUUCAGUGAAUGUGUUUUGGUCUUGGGGUUUGUGUUUGUUUUUCGAUUAGUGAUGUGUCUUGUUUAAGUGUUAGGUUAACAUUACGAUUAAGUGUAGGGUUAGGGUUAUGUCUGUGUAUGUUUAGAGUUUGGGUCUUGGCAUGUGCCUGCACUGGGACUCCUAGCAUCUUGGGCCGUUUAGUUUUAUGCACUCUAUUUAGGUUUUGGGUUCAAAGAUAGCCUGACUCCACCAAGUCAGUGGCCUCCCCAGAGAAUCAAAAUCCAGGCUUCUGAUGGUGUCAGAAUAGACAUGGCAGGCUUCUACCGAGCUGAGCUACGAGGGGAUUUGUGGCUCUAAAGACUCUUUAUUUGGAUUUUCAGUUGCCUUUCUGAUUUUAUCUCUAGUGCAUACAUGUUUCAUCAAUACUACCAAUUAUUAUUUUAAAGUUUUACUUGAAUUCCUGUUUGUAUACACAGUAUGAUAUAGUUUCAGGUUUACCACAUAAUGAUUCAUCCCUUGGAUACAACGCCUGGUACUGGCCACAGGUGCCCUCCACUAUCCCCAUCCCCUGAUUCCCCAUCUCCCUCACCUUCCUCUGGUAUUUAUUAGUUGAUUCUCUGUGGUUAAGAGUGUGUUUUUUUGUUUGCUUCUCUAAUCCUCCCCUCUGCCCCUUUGCCAGUUUGUCUGGUUUCUUAAAAUUCACAUGUGAAUGCAAUUGUAUGGUAUUUCAUAUCUUUCUCUGACUGAGUUCAUUAAGCAUAAGUCCUUUCCACUUCUCCCACAUCAUUGUAAAUGGCUUCAUUUCAUCGCUUCUGAUGACCCAGUGAUGUCGCAGUGGGUAUAUUUACCACAUCGUCUCUGCCCAUUCAUCAGUCGAUGGACAUCUGGGCUGUAUCCACAGUUUGGCUGUUGUUGAUAACGCUGCUACAAACACUGGUCUGCGUGUCCUACUUGGAAUCUACUAAAAGACUUUUGUAUCCUCGGGGUAAAUACCUAGCUCUGCAAAUUUGGAAUCGUAGGGUAGCGCUAUUUUUAACUUCUGUUUUAAUUUUUUUUAUGAUAGUCACAGAGAGAGAGGCAGAGACACAGUCAGAGGUAGAAGCAGGCUCCGUGCACUGUUAGUCCGAUGUGGAUUCGAUCCCAGGUCUCCAGGAUCGCGACAUGGGCCAAAGGCAGGUACCAAACCACUGCACCACCCAGGGAUCUCCUAUUUUUAACAUCUCGAGGACACUCCACAGUGUUUUUCACAGUGGCUGCAACUGUUCGCAUGCCCACCAGGAGUGUAAGGGGGCUCCCUCUUCUCUAUAGCCUCAACAACACCUGUUGUUUCUUCUGUUGUUAAUUUUAGCCAUUCUGUCGGCUGUCAGGUAACAUCUUAUUGUGAUUUCAUUUGAAUUUCCCUGAUGAUGGGUGACGUGGAGUGUCUUUCGGUGUCUGGUGGCCAUCUGGUUGUCUUGUCAGUGACAAAGUCCAUUCAUGUCUUCUACCCAUCUGCAGUUGGAUAAUUUGUGUUUAGGAGGUUGAGAUUUAUAUAUGCUUUGCGUAUUUUGCAUACUAACUGUUUAUUGGAUGUGUUAUUUACAAAUAUCUCCUUUCAUUUUGUAUGUUGCCUUUUAGCGUUGGUUGUUUCUUUCAUUUUGCAGAAGCUUUUGAAUUUGAGGAAGUCCCAAGAGUAUUUUUGCUUUUGUUUCCCUCAACUCAGAGGCACAUCUAGAAAGAAGAUCCAAUAGCCAACGUCAAAGACGUUGUUGCCUAUCUUUUCUUCUUUUUAUGAUUUCAGGUCUCACAUUUAGGUCUUUCAUCCAUUUUGAAUUUAUUUUUUAUAUAUAUUGUGUAAGAAAGUGGUCCAGUUUCAUUCUUCUGCAUGUGGCUGCCUUGUUUUCCCAACACCAUUUGUUUUUAUCCUGGGGUCAGGGUUAGGGUUUGUUGAAGAGACUGUCUUUGUGCCAUUGGAUAUUCCCUGCUGCCUUGUUGUCGAUUAAUGGAUCAUAGAGUUACAGGUUUGUAUUUUGUUUCAGCAUUCCAUUCUGUUCUAUUGAUCUAAGCAUCUACUGUUGGGAGAUUCCUGAUUGCUGAUUCAAUUUCGUUGCUGGUUAUCUGUGUGUUCUAGUUUCUUAUUUCUUCCUUUUCCAUUUUUGCUGUGUUAUAUAUUUCCAGGAAUUGAUCUAUUUCUUCCAGGUUCGAGGUUGCUGGCAUAUAAUUUUUCAUAAUGUUCUCUUAUAAACGUUCUUAUUUCUCUAGUUUUGGUUGUUAUUUCUCUUAUCUCAUUCGUGAUUUUAUUUGGGUCCAUUCUCAUCUUUUUAUCUUUUUUCUUUUUUAAAUAUUUUAUUUAUGUAUUCAUGCAAGACACAGAGAGGCAGGGGUAUAGGCAGGGGGAAUUGAGGCUCCACACAGGGAGCCUUAUGUGGGACAUGAUUCCCCAGGACCCCGGGAUCAUGACCUGAGCCAAAGCAGAUGCUCAACCACUGAGGCAUGCAGGUGCCUUGCUGAUUAAAUUCCUUUGCUAGUUAUGGGUCUAGUCACAUUUUCUAUUUCUUCCUCUUUCAGUUUUGCUCGUUUGCACAUUUCUAGGGAUCUCUCCAAUUCGUCCUGGUCUCCCAGGUUGUUAGCGUAUAAUCUUUUAUACUAUUCCCUUAUAAUUGUCUUAUUUUCUGGUGUUGAUUGUGAUCUCUCUUCUCUCUUUUGUGAUUUUAUUUAUUUAGUUCUUUUCUGUUUUCUUGUUGAUAAGGCUGGCUAGGGCUUGAUCCAGUUUCUUAGUUAUUUUGAAGAAUCAGUUCUUAGUUUCAUUAUUCCAUUCUACUGUUUUGUUGUUUCUGUAUUGAUUAUUUCUGCUCUCAUCUUUAUUUUUUCCUUCUUAAGGAGGCUUUAGGAUUUGUUCCCUAUUCCUUUUUCAGCUCCUUUAGGUGUAGUGUUGGGUCGUGUAUUGGAGACUUCUUGUUUCUUGAGGUAGGCCUGUAUUGCUAUCUACUUCCCUCUAAGGACUGUCUUUGCUACAUCCUAGAGGUUUGAAGAAACAUGUUUUCAUUUUCAUUUGUUUUAAAUUUCCUCUUUAAUUUCCUGGUUACGGGAUCCCUGGGUGGCGCAGCGGUUUGGCGCCUGCCUUUGGCCCAGGCGCGAUCCUGGAGACCCGGGAUCGAAUCCCACAUCGGGCUCCCGGUGCAUGGAGCCUGCUUCUCCCUCUGCCUUUGUCUCUACCUCUCUCUGUCUCUCUCUGUAACUAUCAUAAAUAAAUAAAAAAAAUUAAAAAAAAAGAAAUUAAAAAAAAUAAUAUUUUCCUGGUUACUCCAUUCCUUCUCUGGUAGGAUGAUCAUAAUCUCCACAAAUAUUUGGUCUGUCCAAAUUUUUUCUUACUGUCGACUUCAAGUUGCAUAGCGUUGUCGUCCGAAAAUAUACAUGGUGUGAUACCAUCCUUCUUGUACCCGUUGUACCUGUUGAGGGCUGAUUUGUGGUCCAUGAUAUAAUGUAUUCUGGAGAAUGUCCCAUGUGCACUUGAAAUGAAUGUGUAUUCUGCUUUAGGAAGAAAUGUUCAGACUAUAUCUGUUGAGUCACUUCGGUCCAGUGUGUCAAGCCUAUUGUUCCCCUGUUGAUUUUCUGCAUAGACGAUCGGUCCAUUGCCAAAUGUGGGUGUUAAAAUCCCCAGUCAUUGUAUUAUUAUCAGUGUGUUCCUGUACGUUUGUUGUUAAUUCGUUUCUAUAUUUCGGUACUCCCAUGUUGGCAGCAUAAAUAUGCAUAAAUAUCUCUGUAUUUGAGAUCUUUCCAGUUUUUUGAAUGGAUGCUUCUAUUGUGAUGUAUUUCCCCCUUAGGAAUGCUUUUGCUGCAUGCCAAAGGUUUUGAACAUUUGUAUCUUCAUUCCAAUUAGUUUCCAUGAA